Molecule: unclassified non-coding RNA, 148 nt
Organism: Papio anubis (olive baboon)
Lineage: Eukaryota; Metazoa; Chordata; Mammalia; Primates; Cercopithecidae
Rfam family: Metazoan signal recognition particle RNA
About the family: The signal recognition particle (SRP) is a universally conserved ribonucleoprotein. It is involved in the co-translational targeting of proteins to membranes.
Source: Ensembl
GCUGGACAUGGUGGUGCAUGCCUGUAGUCCCAGCUACUUGGGAGGCUGAGACAUGAGAAUCACUUGAGCCCAGGGAGCUGAGGUUGCAGUGAGCCGAGAUUGCACCACUGCACUCCAGCCUGGACAACAGAGUGAGACUCUGUCUCAA